UAAAGUUCGUUAAAAUAUUUUUAAAUACACAAUUCAUCAAAAUUAGAAAUGGAAAAAUAAAGUUUAUUUUUGAUUUGGUUUAAAAUACCAUAUUGUCUAAUUUUGUCUUUUAACUGACAUACUUUGAAUGGGCCAAGUUGAAAAAUAUUUAUAAAAUAUGAAAUAUGGGUUUGGCAAGUAAGGAAUUGAUUAAAAAAUAAUUGUAUUUGAAAGUCACUACGUUAUGAGAAAUUGAUCCUGUAGGUAGUUGAUGUUUGUAAUUUAAAAUAAUAGACAUAUUAAGGAAAUUAGAACAUAGUUCAACUCUGAAUAUUUAAACAAUUGAUGGCAAUCAAAUUGGUUCAGAUAUUGUAUGAAGAAUAUAACACAGCGAGAUAUAAUGGACAAUGGAGAAUAUGAAUUACAUAAUAUUAUAUUGAAUUUUGAGAGGAUAUAAUAGUUUAGGGUUGUCGACAUAAAAGUAGCUACCGCCUACCAUCAGUUUCCAAGAAUCAUAUUUUUACAGUGAACACGGAUUCUGAUAUUAUAAUAUUAGAACAUAGUCAUUCAAAAUAUAAUAUAAUAUGAUAAUGGAAUCGCAAUAAUGCUUUGGCUAGUUUUCUGUACAUGAAUAAUAAUAUGGUACUAUUAGGAGAUAUUAUUUAACGAAGUGGAGAAAAGAGGAAA
Aphis gossypii (cotton aphid) is the source of this 666-nucleotide long non-coding RNA. RefSeq lists it as uncharacterized. The transcript has 3 exons. The record is from RefSeq and is a predicted model, not a curated record. NCBI's taxonomy places the organism in Eukaryota, Metazoa, Arthropoda, Insecta, Hemiptera, Aphididae.